RNAcentral lists this long non-coding RNA (280 nucleotides) under Ananas comosus (pineapple). Its description in RNAcentral is "long non-coding RNA (ACOM_LNC033313)". Lineage: Eukaryota; Viridiplantae; Streptophyta; Magnoliopsida; Poales; Bromeliaceae. The record is from RNAcentral.
UGAAUCUUGAUUAUGUUUUGAGAAUGUUUUUGCAGAAAUAAUUCAAGACUUCAAGACUCCAUGUCGUCUAAGUCAUAGAGUCUGUAUUAAGGUUAUGAAAAUUGUAAUUUUCGUUUAUUGGAUCGAUCAUGCAGGAGAUUAUCGUUUGGUGAUUGCGAUGAUCUUCUUUUUAUGACUUUUUGGUUGUAUACAAGCUUUGUAGUAUAUUUUGUCACGAAAUCGCCAAAGGGGGAGAUUGUUAAGGAUUUUAUAGGUUGGCGAAUUUCGUAAAGUUGUUUGG